RNAcentral lists this ribosomal RNA (406 nucleotides) under uncultured bacterium. RNAcentral's name for it is "partial 16S ribosomal RNA". It matches the Rfam family "Bacterial small subunit ribosomal RNA", at positions 29 to 526 of the family's 1533-position model. The record is from RNAcentral.
AUUGAACGCUGGCGGCAGGCCUAACACAUACAAGUCGAGCGAGCGGCGGACGGGUGAGUAAUGUCUGGGAAACUGCCUGAUGGAGGGGGAUAACUACUGGAAACGGUAGCUAAUACCGCAUACCAUCAGAUGUGCCCAGAUGGGAGUAGCUAGUAGGUGGGGUAACGGCUCACCUAGGCGACGAGCCCUAGCUGGUCUGAGAGGAUGACCAGCCACACGUGAACGGAGACACGGUCCAGACGCCUACGGGAGGCAGCAGUGGGUAAUAUUGCACAAUGGUCGAAAGGCGGAUGCAGCCAUGCCGCGUGUGUGAAGAAGGCCUUCGGGUUGUAAAGCACUUUCAGCGGGGAGGCGUUACCCGCAGAAGAAGCACCGGCUAACUCCGUGCCAGCAGCCGCGGUAAUAC